UGAGGAAUAUUGGUCAAUGGGCGAGAGCCUGAACCAGCCAAGUAGCGUGCAGGACGACGGCCCUAUGGGUUGUAAACUGCUUUUAUGUGGGGAUAAAGUGCGUGACGUGUCAUGCAUUGCAGGUACCACAUGAAUAAGGACCGGCUAAUUCCGUGCCAGCAGCCGCGGUAAUACGGAAGGUCCGGGCGUUAUCCGGAUUUAUUGGGUUUAAAGGGAGCGUAGGCCGCGUUUUAAGCGUGUUGUGAAAUGUAGACGCCCAACGUCUGCAUCGCAGCGCGAACUGGGACGCUUGAGUACGCGCAACGUUGGCGGAAUUCGUCGUGUAGCGGUGAAAUGCUUAGAUAUGACGAGGAACUCCGAUUGCGAAGGCAGCUGACGGGAGCGGCACUGACGCUUAAGCUCGAAGGUGCGGGUAUCAAACAGG
This 424-nucleotide ribosomal RNA is filed under the name Verrucomicrobiota bacterium. Its description in RNAcentral is "Verrucomicrobia bacterium partial 16S ribosomal RNA". It matches the Rfam family "Bacterial small subunit ribosomal RNA", at positions 355 to 776 of the family's 1533-position model. The record is from RNAcentral. Lineage: Bacteria; Pseudomonadati; Verrucomicrobiota.